Molecule: ribosomal RNA, 548 nt
Filed under: uncultured bacterium
Lineage: Bacteria
Description: bacterial SSU rRNA
Rfam family: Bacterial small subunit ribosomal RNA
Source: RNAcentral
UGGGGAAUUUUGGACAAUGGGCGCAAGCCUGAUCCAGCCAUGCCGCGUGCGGGAAGAAGGCCUUCGGGUUGUAAACCGCUUUUGUCAGGGAAGAAAUCUUCUGGGUUAAUACCUCGGGAGGAUGACGGUACCUGAAGAAUAAGCACCGGCUAACUACGUGCCAGCAGCCGCGGUAAUACGUAGGGUGCAAGCGUUAAUCGGAAUUACUGGGCGUAAAGCGUGCGCAGGCGGUUAUGUAAGACAGAUGUGAAAUCCCCGGGCUUAACCUGGGAACUGCAUUUGUGACUGCAUAGCUAGAGUACGGUAGAGGGGGAUGGAAUUCCGCGUGUAGCAGUGAAAUGCGUAGAUAUGCGGAGGAACACCGAUGGCGAAGGCAAUCCCCUGGACCUGUACUGACGCUCAUGCACGAAAGCGUGGGGAGCAAACAGGAUUAGAUACCCUGGUAGUCCACGCCCUAAACGAUGUCAACUGGUUGUUGGGUCUUCACUGACUCAGUAACGAAGCUAACGCGUGAAGUUGACCGCCUGGGGAGUACGGCCGCAAGGUUG